Non-coding RNA from Camellia sinensis, 908 nucleotides. The record is from RefSeq and is a predicted model, not a curated record. NCBI's taxonomy places the organism in Eukaryota, Viridiplantae, Streptophyta, Magnoliopsida, Ericales, Theaceae.
AAUCAGUAAUAGUUUUAAAUGGACAAACCACAAAACCCCCCACCAAACCCAUCUCCAUUGCGAAGUGCCCAAGUUUUCCAGGUAUAUUAGAGAGAGAGCUUGAGAAUAGUAAGCAUUAUAUCUUUCACAUUCAGAGAGGUGGUAGCUGAUGUAGAAUACAAGGGAAUUAAACAACGGAGGGGUACCUUAGUCCUGAAGGCUGGAAGGUUAUGUCUUUAUUGGAGAAUAUUCAUCACAAUCUAGAAUUCUUUAGCAACCCUCAAAAGUUAAAUCUAUCAAGAUUCGAGGUAUGGUCAAGAUUAGUAUUGAGAUUUUCCUCUAUGUAGUUUUUUUUUCCCUAAAUUUUUUUCUUGGUGCCAAAGCCCUAUACAUUUAUGCCAUUUAGCAGUGGGGUACACGACUGUCCGGGGGAGUGAGCUUGCAAAGCUGGAGACGCACAUUCUGAUUCUACAUCCCCUUGCGAUGUUCAAAGACUAAAUUCUGUCUCUGAUCAGUUUUGUUCUUUGAUGAAUGCAAUUCUAUUUCGUUUCUUCUUGUUCAUACUUUAUGGGAAUAGAUUUUACUUGCACGAAACGGGGCAGAGCCGGGAGCGGGAGCGGGGAGAGGGAGCAAUAGAAGUUUCUUAAGUUGGGAGCGCCUCGGGAAGCGUUUAUAUAUACAUAUAUAUAUAUAUAUGUGUAUAUUAUGUAUAUAUAAAUAAAAAUUAAUUCAAAAAUUCAUUUAUAUUAAAUAUCAUUAAUUCUGUGCACUAUAUUAUGGAGUGGCUUACAUUGUGCACUAUAUUAUGUAUUUAUUUUUUGGAGUGGCUUAUUUUUUGGGGUGGCUUGACAACUAAAAGAGAUCUGUAAAGAGAUCUCUAAUUCUCAUCAUUAAUUCUGUGCACUAUAUCCUUGGUCCAAUUAUGCACU